UGUAAGCGUAUACCAAAGUUGUUGCAGUUAAAACGCUCGUAGUCGGAAUUUGGCAGUUCCGGAUGUGUGCACGUCGUGUGCGCACUUCGCGGGGAUUGCUUUUGUGGUCUUGCGUAGGAUGAGGCACUUUUAUUAGUGAACGUCCUCACGCAACCACUUUUUACUGUGAGAAAAUCAGAGUGCUCAAAGCAGGCAUUUGCCGUGAAUGUAUUAGCAUGGAAUAAUAGAAUAGGACUUGGUUCUAUUUUGUUGGUUUGUUGGGACUGAGUAAUGAUUAAGAGGGACAGCUGGGGGCACUUGUAUUUCGGUGCUAGAGGUGAAAUUCUUAGAUUACCGAAAGACAAACUGCUGCGAAAGCGUCUGCCAAGGAUGUUUUCAUUGA
This 382-nucleotide ribosomal RNA is filed under the name uncultured eukaryote. RNAcentral describes it as "partial 18S ribosomal RNA". It matches the Rfam family "Eukaryotic small subunit ribosomal RNA", at positions 592 to 976 of the family's 1831-position model. The record is from RNAcentral.